AAAAUUUUAUUAUAAAAAAGUAUUUUAUAUUUUCCUUAUAAAGGUUAAAAUUUUA
This 55-nucleotide transfer RNA is filed under the name Bursaphelenchus xylophilus (pine wood nematode). Its description in RNAcentral is "tRNA-Glu". The record is from RNAcentral. Lineage: Eukaryota; Metazoa; Nematoda; Chromadorea; Rhabditida; Aphelenchoididae.